Molecule: unclassified non-coding RNA, 432 nt
Filed under: soil metagenome
Description: partial contains 5.8S ribosomal RNA, internal transcribed spacer 2, and large subunit ribosomal RNA
Rfam family: 5.8S ribosomal RNA (bases 1-120)
Source: RNAcentral
GAUGAAGAACAUAGCGAAAUGCGAUACGUAAUGUGAAUUGCAGAAUUCAGUGAAUCAUCGAAUCUUUGAACGCAUAUUGCGCUCUCUGGUAUUCCGGAGAGCAUGCUUGUUUGAGUAUCAGUAAACACCUCAACUUCCAUAUCUUUUUUGAAAUGGGAGUUGGACUUGAGUGAUCCCAACGCUUUUCCUCACCGAAAAGUGGCGGGUUACUUGAAAUGCAGGUGCAGCUGGACUUUUCUCUGAGCUAUAAGCAUAUCUAUUUAGUCUGCCUAAAAAACAGAUUAUUACCUUUGCUGCAGCUAACAUAAAGGAGAUUAGUUCUUGUGCUGACUGAUGCAGGAUUCACAAAGACGGCUUCGGCCGACUUUGUAAACUCGAUCUCAAAUCAAGUAAGACUACCCGCUGAACUUAAGCAUAUCAAUAAGCGGAGGA